GGUCCGGUGCGCGCGCCGCAAGGGCCGGCGAGGGCGUCCUGCGAACGAGCGUAAGGCGGCGCGCGCUGUCCGGGCCGCCACGGGCGCGAGAAGGGGCGGGAGCGAGCGCCGGCCGGCGGCGCGCGCCAGGCGCAGACAGCCCAGAACGCGCGCCGAGCGCUUGCGCGGGGCCGACGGCCACCUAGGGGCGAGGAGCGCCGGGCACAGUCGCCGGCCAGCGCGCCUCUAGCCCACCUGCCGCCUGGCCAGAGAGGGGUGGACUAUGUGGCCAAGUGAAAUGGCCAGGACGCGAGCCCUCGGAGGAGCCGCCUCCGUGAAGUUCUAAGCUUGCCGGGCAGAGGCAGAGAGAAAGUUCAAAAUCAGGCUGCUGUGGUAGAAACUAACGAGACAGGAGACUGUCGCGGCCGAGCAGAGGAGACGGCAGAAAGAUGCUAGGAAGACACUAGGAAAAAAUCGCUAUUACAGAUGAGGAAACAGGUUUGAAGAGGUUGACCUGCCCAAGAUCACACACAGUUAAGAAAUUGACAAGCAGUUUCAUAAAUGUAUAUGGAAAUGCAAAGGACCUAGAAGGAACCAAACAAUCCUGGAAAAGCAAACAAGCUGGAGGACUUAUACUACCUGACUUCAAUACCUACUAUAAAACUUCAGUAUUGGGGCACCUGGGUGGCUCAGUCAGUUAAGCGUCUGCCUUUGGCUCAGGUCAUGAUCCUGGAGUCCUGGGAUCCAGCUCCCGCUCAGUGAGGAGUCUGCUUCUCCCUCUCCCUCUGCCCUUCACUCCUGUUCUCUCUCACUCAUUCUCUCUCUCAAAUAAAUAAAGUCUUUAAAAAAAAACUUCAGUAUUAAGACAGUGUGAUGCUGACAUAUAGACAUAUAUGGAUAUAUGUGGAUAGACAUAUAAAUCAAUGGAACUGAAUAGCAAACCCAUAAAUAACUCACAGGUAUAUGGUGAGUCAAAGGUACCAGAGCAAUCCAUUAGGAAAAGGAAAUCCCUUCAAUAAAUAGUAUUGCUAUUAUAAAUAAAGAUGCUAUGAACAGGUGAUUAUCCAUAUAAAGAAAAUGAACCUCAACCCCUACCUCAUACCAUACACAAAAAUUAAUUCAUGACAGACCUAAAUGUAAAAUCUAAAACUAUAAAACUUCUAGAAAAAAAUAGGAGACACGGGAGCAGGCAAAUUUUCUUAGACAUGACACAGAAAGCAGUAAUCAGAAAAGAAAGCAAGUGAUAAAUUAGACUUCAUCAAAAUAUAAAACUUCUGUUCAU
Long non-coding RNA from Mirounga angustirostris (Northern elephant seal), 1261 nucleotides. RefSeq lists it as uncharacterized. Lineage: Eukaryota; Metazoa; Chordata; Mammalia; Carnivora; Phocidae. The record is from RefSeq and is a predicted model, not a curated record. The transcript is spliced from 3 exons.